Molecule: long non-coding RNA, 1501 nt
Filed under: Helianthus annuus (common sunflower)
Lineage: Eukaryota; Viridiplantae; Streptophyta; Magnoliopsida; Asterales; Asteraceae
Source: RNAcentral
GAGCAGUACGGGAGAAUGAGAGAAGGAGAUCCGGAGCCGGCGACCGGCGACCGGACCUCGGCGCGUGCUUGCCUCCUACCCACAGAUUCCAAGAUAUAGAAACCGGCAGCAGUGAUCUCUUUUUAGGAAAGACUUCGGUGGGGUGACGUGCUAUAGUGGAGGCAGGUGACGGUGGUUACGGCGGUGGCUUUCGUCUCCGGAAACGCGAGAAAGGGGCGUCAAUGGUGUUAUUUGUGGUUUGAGAGGGGGGGAUCGGGGUGGCUAUGGUGGCAAUAGCGUGCGACGAGUACUGUAAUUGUGGCCAGAGAAAGAGAGUGGGCUGCCCCACCAGCGUCACCGCCACCUCCAUCACCAUCGCCACAGCUGCCAUAUCUCCGACUGCAACCUUGACGGUGGUGUUGCUACAUGAGUAAUGACAGUGAAGAUUGAGGGUUUAAAGGGAGAGUAGGUCGACGGCUAAAUCAAUGAACCCUAAAUCGAUAAUCAGCCUCAUCUCACUAAAUUUCGAUUUGCUUGCUGUUCUUCAAUCAAUCACCGAUAGGAACUCUUUACAGUUGUUUUUUGCCCAGGAAAGCUUCAAGUUUUUGACAGUUUUUUUGACCAUUUGCACUCACUACGCUCCUGUUAGCCAAGAGCUCUUAAAUUCCCCUGCAACUUUUAGAGGUAUAGCGAAGAGAAGGACCAUUAAGAACGACAACUAAAGCUCAAACGCGGAUUGAAGGAGCAUAUAGGAUGAUUUUGGAGAUUAAGGGUUUGGACGACAGUUUCAAGAUAUGCUGGGAGUUCAUCAAUUAAUCUAUGGCAAAUCACAUGGGAGAGCCACUGUUAGAAUAUCUAACUCAGAAAGAAACAGAGAGUCUGCCUGAAGCAAGGGAAUGCCAAGAAGCUGAAGCCCGACCAACAAAACUGAUUAUCACCGCUUAUUAGGAGAGUAAGGUGGAACAAAAGUGUGUGGAUGAAGUAUGCUAAGAAGGAUUUCAAUGGUGCUAGGAGUGUUUGGGAGCGUGCACUUGAUGUCAAUUGAAGCAACUAAAGGUGGUGUUACACAACAUGUCCAAGAUGUGGUCAAUACUAGAGGUCGAUAUUGAGUGGAUUUGUACGCGUGACGGCAUAGAAAAAGCAAAAACAAUGUACCGAAUCAUUGCGACAAUCACGAAUAGCACGGGAAGCAUGUCGACAGUUAUUUUCGACGGUGUAGGGACACAGCUGUUAGCAAUGACAUGCAAUGACUUGGCUGCGACUGAGGACCCCAUGAAAAAGUUGUACUCGGUUAUGGAAAAGGAAGCAUUCAUGAUUAUCCAGCUACUAUCCGACAAAAAAAAUGUGCACAUUAAAAUGAUCUGUUGUCAACAAAGCAGCGCAUUGUGCCAGCUUGGUCAAAAAUGUAGUCAAUGGUCGUAUGCUAUAUGCUGAUAAUAGUAACACGUAUGCCUGAACAUACCAUAUUUUGUACGCUACAUCUGUUAAUAGCAGUGUCAUAACUUGAUGACAGUUACUUAUG